RNAcentral lists this ribosomal RNA (1528 nucleotides) under Klebsiella pneumoniae UCI 60. RNAcentral's name for it is "bacterial SSU rRNA". It matches the Rfam family "Bacterial small subunit ribosomal RNA". The record is from RNAcentral. Lineage: Bacteria; Pseudomonadati; Pseudomonadota; Gammaproteobacteria; Enterobacterales; Enterobacteriaceae.
AGAGUUUGAUCAUGGCUCAGAUUGAACGCUGGCGGCAGGCCUAACACAUGCAAGUCGAGCGGUAGCACAGAGAGCUUGCUCUCGGGUGACGAGCGGCGGACGGGUGAGUAAUGUCUGGGAAACUGCCUGAUGGAGGGGGAUAACUACUGGAAACGGUAGCUAAUACCGCAUAAUGUCGCAAGACCAAAGUGGGGGACCUUCGGGCCUCAUGCCAUCAGAUGUGCCCAGAUGGGAUUAGCUAGUAGGUGGGGUAACGGCUCACCUAGGCGACGAUCCCUAGCUGGUCUGAGAGGAUGACCAGCCACACUGGAACUGAGACACGGUCCAGACUCCUACGGGAGGCAGCAGUGGGGAAUAUUGCACAAUGGGCGCAAGCCUGAUGCAGCCAUGCCGCGUGUGUGAAGAAGGCCUUCGGGUUGUAAAGCACUUUCAGCGGGGAGGAAGGCGGUGAGGUUAAUAACCUCACCGAUUGACGUUACCCGCAGAAGAAGCACCGGCUAACUCCGUGCCAGCAGCCGCGGUAAUACGGAGGGUGCAAGCGUUAAUCGGAAUUACUGGGCGUAAAGCGCACGCAGGCGGUCUAUCAAGUCGGAUGUGAAAUCCCCGGGCUCAACCUGGGAACUGCAUUCGAAACUGGCAGGCUAGAGUCUUGUAGAGGGGGGUAGAAUUCCAGGUGUAGCGGUGAAAUGCGUAGAGAUCUGGAGGAAUACCGGUGGCGAAGGCGGCCCCCUGGACAAAGACUGACGCUCAGGUGCGAAAGCGUGGGGAGCAAACAGGAUUAGAUACCCUGGUAGUCCACGCCGUAAACGAUGUCGAUUUGGAGGUUGUGCCCUUGAGGCGUGGCUUCCGGAGCUAACGCGUUAAAUCGACCGCCUGGGGAGUACGGCCGCAAGGUUAAAACUCAAAUGAAUUGACGGGGGCCCGCACAAGCGGUGGAGCAUGUGGUUUAAUUCGAUGCAACGCGAAGAACCUUACCUGGUCUUGACAUCCACAGAACUUAGCAGAGAUGCUUUGGUGCCUUCGGGAACUGUGAGACAGGUGCUGCAUGGCUGUCGUCAGCUCGUGUUGUGAAAUGUUGGGUUAAGUCCCGCAACGAGCGCAACCCUUAUCCUUUGUUGCCAGCGGUUAGGCCGGGAACUCAAAGGAGACUGCCAGUGAUAAACUGGAGGAAGGUGGGGAUGACGUCAAGUCAUCAUGGCCCUUACGACCAGGGCUACACACGUGCUACAAUGGCAUAUACAAAGAGAAGCGACCUCGCGAGAGCAAGCGGACCUCAUAAAGUAUGUCGUAGUCCGGAUUGGAGUCUGCAACUCGACUCCAUGAAGUCGGAAUCGCUAGUAAUCGUAGAUCAGAAUGCUACGGUGAAUACGUUCCCGGGCCUUGUACACACCGCCCGUCACACCAUGGGAGUGGGUUGCAAAAGAAGUAGGUAGCUUAACCUUCGGGAGGGCGCUUACCACUUUGUGAUUCAUGACUGGGGUGAAGUCGUAACAAGGUAACCGUAGGGGAACCUGCGGUUGGAUCACCU